Molecule: ribosomal RNA, 1365 nt
Filed under: metagenome
Description: bacterial LSU rRNA
Rfam family: Bacterial large subunit ribosomal RNA
Source: RNAcentral
GCAGACAACCAGGAUGUUGGCUCAGAAGCAGCCACUCAUUUAAAGAGUGCGUAAUAGCUCACUGGUCGAGCGUCUCUGCGCGGAAAAUUUAACGGGGCUAAGAUACAAACCGAAGCUUAGGCUGCACUUUUAGUGCGGGGUAGGGGAGCGUUGUGUAAGCGGAGAAACAGUAGCGGAAGCGGCUGUGGAGUUUACAGAAGUGAGAAUGCCGGAAUGAGUAGCGCGAAUGAUGUGAGAAUCAUCAUGGCCGGAAACCUCAGGUUUUUGGAGGAAGGUUCGUCCGCUCCAAGUUAGGCGGGAGCUAAGGUGAGGCCGAAAGGCGUAGCCGAUGCACAGACGGUAGAGAUUCCGUCCCCACCGAAAGAUUUAAGCGCAGGGACACUUUUAGAAGGUCGGAGCCAGGUGUUGGUUCUGGUAGAGAUCGAGGGAAGAUUAGUACCGAAGUCCGGCUGGAUAAGAGGCGAGAAAAGCUGCGUGUAUAUCUAAGGUGCCCGUACCGCAAACCGACACAGGUAGGUAGGAAGAAGAUUCUAAGGCCAACGGGAGAAGGGUUGUUAAGGAACUCGGCAAGUUGACCCCGUAACUUCGGAAUAAGGGGUGCUCAUGAAAGUGAGCCGCAGAGAAUAGGCCCAGGCAACUGUUUACCAAAAACACAGGUUUGUGCUAAAUCGAAAGAUGACGUAUACGAGCUGACGCCUGCCCGGUGCUGGAAGGUUAAAAGGAGAUGUGCAAGCAUUGAAUUGAAGCCCCAGUGAACGGCGGCCGUAACUAUAACGGUCCUAAGGUAGCGAAAUUCCUUGUCAGGUAAGUUCUGACCCGCAUGAAAGGCGUAAUGAUCUGGGCACUGUCUCAACAGCCCGCCCGGCGAAAUUGUAGUACCGGUGAAGAUGCCGGUUACCCGCGACAAGACGGAAAGACCCCAUGGAGCUUUACUGUAGCCUAAUAUUGGGUUUCGGUGUUGCAUGCACAGGAUAGAUGGGACGCUAGGAAGUGAGUGCUUUGGCAUUCAUGGAGCGGCCGUUGGGAUACCAUCCUUGCGACAUUGGAAUUCUAACCUGCGCCUUUGAAUCAAGGCGGGGGACAUUGUUAGGUGGGCAGUUUGACUGGGGCGGUCGCCUCCUAAAGAGUAGCGGAGGCGUUCAAAGGUUGGCUCGUCCUGGACGGAAACCAGGAGAGAGAGUGCAAACGCAAAAGCCAGCCUGACUGCGAGACUGACGGGUCGAGCAGAGACGAAAGUCGGAGUUAGUGAUCCGGUGGUAUGUGAGUGGAAAUGCCAUCGCUCAACGGAUAAAAGUUACCCUGGGGAUAACAGGCUGAUCUCCCCCAAGAGUCCACAUCGACGGGGAGGUUUGGCACCUCGAUGUC